AAAGACUCAAUUUCUAGGUUUCCGUGUCCAACGUUUGACUGUCCGUCUUAUUUAAAAAAAUUAUAAAAAAAUUUAAAAGUAUAAGUCACACAUAAAGUAUUAAUCAUGUUUUAUCAUCUAACAAUAAUAAAAAUACUAAUCAUAAAAAAAUUUCAUAUGAGACGGACAGUCAAACGUUGUACACAAAAACCCAGGAAUUGAGUCUUU
MicroRNA precursor from Oryza rufipogon (brownbeard rice), 207 nucleotides. It matches the Rfam family "MIR812 microRNA precursor family". NCBI's taxonomy places the organism in Eukaryota, Viridiplantae, Streptophyta, Magnoliopsida, Poales, Poaceae. The record is from Rfam.